GUUAGGAUGGUAUAAAAACCUCAGGGGUUGUUUUGGAGAUUGUCCUCUUUCAACAGAAAUGAUCUUGAGCAGAAUAGCUGCUGGACUGCAAGACUAGUGUGACAUGGAAACAGCAACUUCAAGCUGCUUUUCAGCAGGGCCAGGCCCAAAUACAUGUGGGGGAAAACAGAAUAACCAUGUGUCAGCAUCCCUUUACCCUGUGGUGGAAGACAACUUUCUGCAUUUGACUUUUAAAAGCAUUUGUGUUUUAAAAUGUUUUUUAAUUAGUUAAUGUUUUAAAUUGUUGUUGGUAACUCAGGGAGCCAAUGCUAGAGAUAGGUGUGGGGUUUUAAAAGUACUUGGUUGCAAACUGUUGAUUUGGUGUGUUUAAAACUCGUGGGGUUUGUUUGUGUGUGUGUGUGUGUGUGUGUGUGUGAUUCAGGGGGCCUAUGCUAGAGAUAGGUGGGUGGAGUUUUACAGUACUUUAUUUCAAAACAGUUUGGUUUUUACUCUGAAAAAAGUGAUGUGUUUUUAAAAUGGGUUGUUUUAAAACUAGGGGGCCUGGGCAAGACAUAGUUAUGGUGGGGCAUUUAAAAAGUAUUUUAUUGCACACUUUGCUUUGGGUGCAUUGUGGAAACAUGUGCUUGUAUUAAAAAAAGUCUAGGUUUUAGAGAAACACUAGUGGUGGAAAUAAACCAAAACCUGUAUUUGUUGUACAGCCUGAAAUGGAUUGUUUUGUU
Molecule: long non-coding RNA, 719 nt
Organism: Dermochelys coriacea (leatherback sea turtle)
Lineage: Eukaryota; Metazoa; Chordata; Testudines; Dermochelyidae
Exons: 3
Source: RefSeq, a predicted model, not a curated record